Molecule: ribosomal RNA, 501 nt
Filed under: uncultured bacterium
Lineage: Bacteria
Description: partial 16S ribosomal RNA
Rfam family: Bacterial small subunit ribosomal RNA
Source: RNAcentral
AUUGAACGCUGGCGGCAUGCCUUACACAUGCAAGUCGAACGGCAGCACGGGUGCUUGCACCUGGUGGCGAGUGGCGAACAGGUGAGUAAUACAUCGGAACGUACCUUAUCGUGGGGGAUAACGCAGCGAAAGCUGUGCUAAUACCGCAUAAUCCCUACGGGGGAAAGCGGGGGACCGUAAGGCCUCGCGCAAUUAGAGCGGCCGAUACCUGAUUAGCUAGUUGGUGAGGUAAAGGCUCACCCAGGCAAAGAUCAGUAGCUGGUCUGAGAGGACGGACAGCCACACUGGGACUGAGACACGGCCCAGCGUCCUACGGGAGGCAGCAGUGGGGAAUUUUUGACAAUGGGGGCAACCCUGAUCCAGCAAUGCCGCGUGAGUGAAGAAGGCCUUCGGGUUGUAAAGCGCUUUUGUCAGGGAAGAAACAGCAGCUCUAACACAGUUUGCGAAUGACGGUACCUGAAGAAUAAGCACCGGCUAACUACGUGCCAGCAGCCGCCGUAA